RNAcentral lists this long non-coding RNA (228 nucleotides) under Mytilus galloprovincialis (Mediterranean mussel). The record is from RNAcentral. Lineage: Eukaryota; Metazoa; Mollusca; Bivalvia; Mytilida; Mytilidae.
UUUCACCGUUAAAGUUAUCGGAGUUGGACUUUGGACUCGAAUACCUAAAGGCUUAACUGACCGUGAAAAAUAUGGAAGUGCUAAAACUGCCUUUACAGGUUCGAGAACAGUUGAUGAAAGCGGAAAACGAAAUUAAAGAUAAAUACUUAAACGUUGUUCGUUCUCUGUCUUUCUGUGAUCUUAAGAAGUUUGAUAAAGUUAAAUACAAAGACAUCAUGAUAUCUGAAC